GGUGGCUCAUACACCGGUGGUUUCUUAGGAGGUUCAUAUACUGGUGGCUUCUUCGGAGGUUCGUAAACCGGUGGUUUGGGCUCUGGCUUCUCUUUCUUCGGAGGUUCAUAAACUGGUGGUUUUGGUGGCUUAGGUUCAUAUACUGGUGGUUUUGGUGGCUUAGGUUCAUACACUGGAGGCUUCUUUGGAGGCUCAUAUACUGGUGGUUUGGGUUCUGGCUUCUCUUUCUUUGGAGGUUCAUAAACUGGUGGCUUUGGUGGCUUAGGCUCAUAAACUGGUGGCUUUGGUGGCUUAGGUUCAUAUACUGGUGGUUUCUUUGGAGGCUCAUACACCGGAGGCUUCUUUGGAGGCUCAUAAACUGGUGGCUUUGGUGGCUUAGGUUCAUAAACUGGUGGCUUAGGUUCAUAUACUGGUGGCUUUGGUGGCUUAGGCUCAUAAACUGGUGGCUUUGGUGGCUUAGGUUCAUAAACUGGCGGUUUCUUUGGAGGCUCAUACACCGGAGGCUUCUUUGGAGGCUCAUAUACUGGUGGUUUGGGUUCUGGCUUUGGAGGCUUAGGUUCAUAUACUGGUGGUUUCUUUGGAGGCUCAUAAACUGGUGGCUUUGGUGGCUUAGGCUCAUAAACUGGUGGCUUUGGAGGCUUAGGUUCAUAAACUGGCGGUUUCUUUGGAGGCUCAUACACCGGUGGUUUCUUGGGAGGUUCAUAAACUGGUGGUUUGGGUUCUGGCUUUUCCUUCUUUGGAGGUUCGUAAACCGGUGGCUUGGGCUCCGGCUUCUCCUUCUUUGGGGGUUCAUAGACAGGGGGUUGGGGUUCUGGCUUCUUUGGAGGUUCGUAAACUGGUGGUG
Molecule: long non-coding RNA, 844 nt
Filed under: Theobroma cacao (cacao)
Lineage: Eukaryota; Viridiplantae; Streptophyta; Magnoliopsida; Malvales; Malvaceae
Description: long non-coding RNA (TCAC_LNC002752)
Source: RNAcentral